GAUGAACGCUGGCGGCGUGCCUAAUACAUGCAAGUCGAGCGAACAGAUGAGGAGCUUGCUCCUCUGACGUUAGCGGCGGACGGGUGAGUAACACGUGGAUAACCUACCUAUAAGACUGGGAUAACUUCGGGAAACCGGAGCUAAUACCGGAUAAUAUAUUGAACCGCAUGGUUCAAUAGUGAAAGACGGUUUUGCUGUCACUUAUAGAUGGAUCCGCGCCGCAUUAGCUAGUUGGUAAGGUAACGGCUUACCAAGGCAACGAUGCGUAGCCGACCUGAGAGGGUGAUCGGCCACACUGGAACUGAGACACGGUCCAGACUCCUACGGGAGGCAGCAGUAGGGAAUCUUCCGCAAUGGGCGAAAGCCUGACGGAGCAACGUCGCGUGAGUGAUGAAGGUCUUCGGAUCGUAAAACUCUGUUAUUAGGGAAGAACAAAUGUGUAAGUAACUAUGCACGUCUUGACGGUACCUAAUCAGAAAGCCACGGCUAACUACGUG
This 497-nucleotide ribosomal RNA is filed under the name uncultured bacterium. RNAcentral describes it as "partial 16S ribosomal RNA". It matches the Rfam family "Bacterial small subunit ribosomal RNA", at positions 28 to 507 of the family's 1533-position model. The record is from RNAcentral.